This 724-nucleotide ribosomal RNA is filed under the name uncultured bacterium. RNAcentral's name for it is "bacterial SSU rRNA". It matches the Rfam family "Bacterial small subunit ribosomal RNA", at positions 28 to 776 of the family's 1533-position model. The record is from RNAcentral.
GAUGAACGCUGACAGAAUGCUUAACACAUGCAAGUCUACUUGAUCCUUCGGGUGAUGGUGGCGGACGGGUGAGUAACGCGUAAAGAACUUGCCCUGCAGUCUAGGACAACAUUUGGAAACGAAUGCUAAUACCGGAUAUUAUGUGAGUUUCGCAUGAAAUUCAUAUGAAAGCUAUAUGCGCUGCAGGAGAGCUUUGCGUCCUAUUAGCUAGUUGGUGAGGUAACGGCUCACCAAGGCGAUGAUAGGUAGCCGGCCUGAGAGGGUGAACGGCCACAAGGGGACUGAGACACGGCCCUUACUCCUACGGGAGGCAGCAGUGGGGAAUAUUGGACAAUGGACCAAAAGUCUGAUCCAGCAAUUCUGUGUGCACGAUGAAGUUUUUCGGAAUGUAAAGUGCUUUCAGUUGGGACGAAGUAAGUGACGGUACCAACAGAAGAAGCGACGGCUAAAUACGUGCCAGCAGCCGCGGUAAUACGUAUGUCGCAAGCGUUAUCCGGAUUUAUUGGGCGUAAAGCGCGUCUAGGCGGUUUGGUAAGUCUGAUGUGAAAAUGCGGGGCUCAACUCCGUAUUGCGUUGGAAACUGCCAAACUAGAGUACUGGAGAGGUGGGCGGAACUACAAGUGUAGAGGUGAAAUUCGUAGAUAUUUGUAGGAAUGCCGAUGGGGAAGCCAGCCCACUGGACAGAUACUGACGCUAAAGCGCGAAAGCGUGGGUAGCAAACAGG